AACAUGUGGUUUUGUCUUUGAUACAUGGGAUACAACAUGUGGUUUUGUCUUUGAUACAUGGGGUACAACAUGUGGUUUUGUCUUUGAUACAGAGUUCCUAUUAUGUUGGUGGGAAAUAAGAACGACCUGCACAUGGAAAGGGUGAUCAGCUGUGAGGAAGGGAAGUCACUAGCAGAAUCAUGGAACGCUGCCUUCAUGGAAUCCUCAGCUAAAGAGAACCAGACGGCGGUGGAGGUGUUCAAGCGGAUGAUCCUGGAGGCGGAGAAGCUGGAAGGCGGCGUCCAACCAGGGAAGAAUUCCUGCUCCUUGAUGUAGAGCUGCUGAUCAAUCAGAACAGAGAACCGAACACUACACUGGGAUAUCCAGUUACUUGAAGGCUUCCUGCCAGUACACUACUACUCUUCCAACUCUUCCAACUGUCUUUCAACUGUCUUUCAACUGUCUUUCAACUGUCUUCAACAGUCUUCCAACUGUCUUCCAACUGUUUUCCAACUGUCAACUCACCAACAGUUUAUUUUUCAGUAUUUCUGUUUGUCAUGAAAGGGUGAGUGGCUGUCAUACUGUACAUUUCCCACAAUCCACUUCUCGUCUCUUCUGUGCUCAGCCCUGAUGCGAAACUGAGAGCCACGUCCAGAAAUAACCCCUAGACCCUACACCCUUACCCCCCCCCCAGUCACUUCUCUUAGCCCCUAGCAUCCAGGGGGUGGGGUUUAGGGUCUGUUUCUGUAACCUUGUUUGACCAUCCUGAUCUUGCAAAAGUACAGCGGUCAGGAUGGUAGAUCAGACUACUGUUUCUCAUAAAGACGUAUCAGAAACUAUGUCUGGCUUCUCACAUGGGGCUGCACAGGUGUCCAUUCUGGCUUGAUGGUGGACGGGUGACUAUGGAAGAUCAGAGAUGUUCAACCUCCUCAUAUUAGAGAUGCUAUGAAGACCGAACAUUCCCUUCUAUUGAAUUGUGUUUUUUUUUUUUUUUUAUUUAAACAAUGAUUGUUUUAUGUUCUUUUCUCUUUUCCAUGGCAUUAGUCCACUGUGUCACCAGGGUGGAGCUAGCAUGCCAUGGUGGUUUUUACGCAUACUAAGCUGUUCAUUUUAGUGUAUUGUUUCAAAGGAAACAAACACUCAUUAGGAUCAGGUGUGGUUAAUUAGUGGGCGUGGCCAACACACCUGACCACGCUUAACAAGAUACAGGUGAGAGAGUUGUGUUGAUGCAGAGAACGGAAUGUAUGUUUUUAAAGAACUUUAGUAACGUUGAGAGAAUGUUUUCUGUGGUUUUUAUGGAACUUUUGGAACAAUUUGAAAACAUGACUUUAAAUCAAAUCCACGAGGAAACCUGUCGGAAACGUUAUGCUGUAGUACUGAAAUUCCCACAGAAGAACGUUGUUUCUUAACGUUCACUGAACUACUUUAAAAUGUCAAACCAGUUGUAGAACGUUUCUAGAUCAUUACCAAAAUUGAAAUGAAAUUUAACCAUGUUUGACAUUUUAGGAAACGUUCUGUUAAAGUAAUGAAAUACCAAGAAAAUGUCAUUUUCGAAAGUUAGAUAAUUGUGCUGAGAAUGUUCCAAAGCCAAUCAAACUACCCUGCACCGUUCCCAGAACGUUGUGAGAAGGUUGAAUGCAAAAUAACCAUAGGACAACCGCACUCUCACCAAGCACUAAGAAACGUCCUCAGAACGUCGUGUGCUAGCUGGGCUCUGUCAUUGUUGUCAUUGUCAAUCCGUACAUCACUAAAACUUUUAUAGGAAAUCUUCCAGUAAACUUCAGGGAGAAUCCUAACUUCCUUAAGUCAAAUAUUCAUCUCGUCUCCCAUUGACAUCAAUGCAUGAAUAAGUGAACAUUCAAUUUAUGUGUAAGUUAAGAUUUGUUCUUUGGUCAUUUCUGAUGCAUUAGUAGCUGUUCAUCUGUCCCUCUUAUCCCUCUAGCUCUUUCUAUAUCUACUGCAUUUUCCCACAUCGUUGUCAGUCAGAUGUCCCCCCCCCCAUAGCUGUUCAUCUGUCCCUCUUAUCCCUCUAGCUCUUUCUAUAUCUACUGCAUUUUCCCACAUCGUUGUCAGUCAGAUGUCCCCCCCCCCAUAGCUGUUCAUCUGUCCCUCUUAUCCCUCUAGCUCUUUCUAUAUCUACUGCAUUUUCCCACAUCGUUGUCAGUCAGAUGUCCCCCCCCCAUAGCUGUUCAUCUGUCCCUCUUAUCCCUCUAGCUCUUUCUAUAUCUACUGCAUUUUCCCACAUCGUUGUCAGUCAGAUGUCCCCCCCCCCAUAGCUGUUCAUCUGUCCCUCUUAUCCCUCUAGCUCUUUCUAUAUCUACUGCAUUUUCCCACAUCGUUGUCAGUCAGAUGUCCCCCCCCCCAUAGCUGUUCAUCUGUCCCUCUUAUCCCUCUAGCUCUUUCUAUAUCUACUGCAUUUUCCCACAUCGUUGUCAGUCAGAUGUCCCCCCAUAGCUGUUCAUCUGUCCCUCUUAUCCCUCUAGCUCUUUCUAUAUCUACUGCAUUUUCCCACAUCGUUGUCAGUCAGAUGUCCCCCCCCC
This is a long non-coding RNA of Oncorhynchus nerka (sockeye salmon), 2519 nucleotides long. RefSeq lists it as uncharacterized. The record is from RefSeq and is a predicted model, not a curated record. NCBI's taxonomy places the organism in Eukaryota, Metazoa, Chordata, Actinopteri, Salmoniformes, Salmonidae. The transcript has 3 exons.